CAAAUUAAAGCUUAAGUUAAGUAUUUCAUUUACAUUGAAAAGAUAUUAAUUAUUAUUAAUUAAUUUGA
RNAcentral lists this transfer RNA (68 nucleotides) under Cricula trifenestrata. Its description in RNAcentral is "tRNA-Val". The record is from RNAcentral. Lineage: Eukaryota; Metazoa; Arthropoda; Insecta; Lepidoptera; Saturniidae.